UACACAAUCUUUAGACACAAGGAACAAAAGGGCAAUAAGCCCUUCGAGGCCCCAGUAGAGACUACAAUUGAGGGCUAAUGGGCCAUGGAGGGGGGUCUUUCUAGCAGAGGCUAUCUCAGUGUCCUUUAGAGGGUGUGUUAGAAAGAAUCCACUCCAAGCCCCAUUAGAGACUACAAUGGAGUCUAAAAGGCUUGGAAGGGGGUCUUUCUAACAGAGGCCAUCUCAGCGUCCAUUAGAUAUCCCCUGCUGGAAACAGUCGCCUCCAGGCCCCAGUAGAAACUACAAUUGAGGCCUAAUGGGCCAUGGAGGGGAUUUCUAGCAGAGGCUAGAGUCUAAUGGGGCCUGGAGGGUGGUCUCUCCAACACUCUGGUUCCUAUUCACAAUAUAGCAACACAC
Molecule: non-coding RNA, 396 nt
Organism: Pelobates cultripes (western spadefoot toad)
Lineage: Eukaryota; Metazoa; Chordata; Amphibia; Anura; Pelobatidae
Source: the annotation of a GenBank genome assembly